UUCCUGGUGGCUCAGAUGGUAAAGAAUCUGCCUGCAAUGCAGGAAACCAGGGUUCGAUCUCUGGUUCAGGAAG
Molecule: non-coding RNA, 73 nt
Organism: Ovis aries (sheep)
Lineage: Eukaryota; Metazoa; Chordata; Mammalia; Artiodactyla; Bovidae
Source: Rfam